RNAcentral lists this unclassified non-coding RNA (315 nucleotides) under plant metagenome. RNAcentral's name for it is "partial contains 5.8S ribosomal RNA, internal transcribed spacer 2, and large subunit ribosomal RNA". The stretch from base 1 to 105 matches the Rfam family "5.8S ribosomal RNA", at positions 50 to 154 of the family's 154-position model. The record is from RNAcentral.
GAACUGCGAUAAGUAAUGUGAAUUGCAGAAUUCAGUGAAUCAUCGAGUCUUUGAACGCACAUUGCGCCCCCUGGCAUUCCGGGGGGCAUGCCUGUCCGAGCGUCAUUGCUGCCCUUCAAGCCCGGCUUGUGUGUUGGGUCGUCGUCCCCUCCGGGGGACGGGCCCGAAAGGCAGCGGCGGCACCGCGUCCGGUCCUCGAGCGUAUGGGGCUUUGUCACCCGCUCGAUAAGGACCGGCCGGGCGCCAGCCGGCGUCUCCAACCUUUUUUUCUCAGGUUGACCUCGGGUCAGGUAGGGAUACCCGCUGAACUUAAGC